Molecule: RNA transcript, 2665 nt
Organism: Orcinus orca (killer whale)
Lineage: Eukaryota; Metazoa; Chordata; Mammalia; Artiodactyla; Delphinidae
Gene: TRMT61B
Gene name: tRNA methyltransferase 61B
Exons: 6
Source: RefSeq, a predicted model, not a curated record
UUCCGGCGAAAUAGCUGUCCAUCCCCCAGGCAGCUGCGUCAAUGCUGAGCGCAGCGAGAGGCGGAGCCUCGGCCCUGCGACAGUCGCCUGCGACAGUCGCCUGCGCGGGUCGUCAUGUUGUCAACCAGGCGCCUGGGUCUGGUCUUGCUACCGCUGAGGCGUCUCCGGAGGUGGCCAGGGUUCGGGACCUGUCCAUUCCUGCGCUGCCUUGGGCAAGAGCCCUUCGAGAGAGCCCGGUUAUUGUGUUGCAAAUUCUCGUCUAGAGACGCGCGAGAUGAAGAAGGAGAGCGCGAGGCGGCACAGAGGAAAGCCCCAGACGUAGAGUCGCCUCCAUCUCUCCCUCCGCUCGUCCGGGGACUUGGGACCAGAUGUCUUUCGUCACUGGAAAGCCUCAGACUACCGACGCCGCGAAAGGAGUCACCCCCUCGAAAGCACGAGGGCUCGAGUGAAGACCAGGGCCAGUCGGGUCCCGCACACCAGGGAUCCGGCGGUCCCUCAAUGCCCGCCUUGGCCCAGCCUGCCACCAAGGAUGACGAACUUCACGUCUCCUCUUCCUGGUCAACUACCCGAGAGGUGCCUUUUCGGGCUGGGGAGCUGAUUUUAGCUGAGACUGGGAAGAGAGAAACACAAUUUAAAAAAUUAUUUAGGUUGAGCAAUGCCGGACACUUAAAUAGUAUCUGGGGGGCAGUCCCGUUCAGCGAGAUCGUGGGGAAGUUCCCCGGCCAGAUACUGAGGAGUUCCUCUGGUAAGCACUUCAUGCUGAGGAGGCCAGCAUUGGAAGACUAUGUAUUACUGAUGCAAAGAGGGCCUGCCAUAACGUAUCCUAAGGAUAUGAAUAUGAUACUGUUGAUGAUGAAUAUCCACCCAGGUGAUACUGUUUUGGAAGCUGGCUCGGGCUCUGGUGGAACGAGCUUGUUUUUAUCCAAAGCAGUUGGAUCACAAGGACGAGUCAUAAGUUUUGAAAUUAGAAAAGACCACCAUGAACUGGCUAAGAAGAAUUACAAACACUGGCGUGAUUCAUGGAAAAUGAGUCAUGUAGAAGAGUGGCCAGACAACGUGGAUUUUAUUCAUAAGGAUAUUUUAGGAGCAACUGAAGACAUAAAAUCUUUAACAUUUGAUGCGGUAGCUUUGGAUAUGUUGAAUCCUCAAGUUGCUUUGCCUGUUUUAUACCCAAAUCUUAAACAGGGUGGUGUAUGUGCUGUGUAUCUAGCAAACAUCACACAGGUUAUUGAACUUUUAGAUGGAAUUCGCAUCUGUGAACUUGCCCUCUCAUGUGAAAAGAUAAGUGAAGUUAUUGUCAGAGAUUGGUUGGUUUGCCUUGCAAAACAGAAAAAUGGAAUUUUACCUCAAAAAGUGGAACCUAAAAUCAACAGAGAUUUACAAUUACAUUCUCAAAAGAAAAUUAGAAUUGAAGGUGAGAUGUUUCAAGAAGAUGACCAUGGUGAGCUUCAGUUUUAUUUUAUGCAUGUGUUUGAAAUAAUAAAUGGAGAAUACAUUCCUGAAUAUAUUGGGCAAUACAUUAUAAAAAUAUUUCUCAGGGAUUUAUUAUGUUUUUCCUAUAGAAAUUGAAAUGUGGUAUUUAUUCUGUUAAAUUAAAAUCUUUUAAGAGACAGAAUCAUGACUUUUCCUGCCUUUUAUGUAAAACUCCGAUACCUUUGAAGAACUGAACUUCUUAUAAUAUUCAUAUUUUACUUGUGAUAAGGGGAUUGGCUUAUGAAAUACUUUAAAUAUACUAAAGAAUGUUGUAAAUUUAGAUCAGUGAUUAUCACUGAAGGGAAAGAAUUUAAUAGGACCCGAUAUGCAAAUAGCUAAUAUUCCAAAAAGCAACUUCUAGGAAUUUUUCAAAGAACUAAAUUUAGGUCCUUGUUGUAUGUACACAUUACUUAGGCCAUAAACAAGUUUUCAGACAUCCAUUGAUUUAUGAUAUGAGCUUAUCCGUUUGGUUAUAAAACCAUAUAUAGGUUUAUCAUGUCAUCCUUGACAAGUUGUUUCUGUAAGAUAACUGUCAGAAUAGCUCCAAGACAAAUGCUAAAAAAAAAAAAAGUCUGAGAGGAAAAAACUUACAGGAAAAGGACAGUAAUUUGUUUUUUAACAGUUUUGUGAACAAAUUAUAAAAUAUUUUGUGUAGCUUACAAUACAUAUUUUGUUCUAUAACAGAAGAAUCACAUUCUGAUUUUCCCUAUGGAUCAUUUCCCUAUAUUGCUAGACCUAUACACUGGCAAACUGGUCAUACAGCUUUUCUUGUCAAGUUGAGGAAGUGCAAACCACAACUUAACUGAGUACCUCAGAUGACAACUGAUUUGAAGAUGUGAAGAAAAAUAUCAAAAUAGAACUUUGUAUUGCAAAUCACUACUUUCAUAGAUUGAUAUUCUUAGCUACUACUAUGAUUUGUAUAACUUUUACAUGUAAUUUUGAAAAGUAACAAAAGCUAGAGAAAAAUGUGUAACAUUUCGAAACUGCUUAAAUGUCCCAUUUUGACACUUGUCUUGCAGUUAGUUUGACAUUUUGUAGUUAAUGAUUCCAAGUUUGUUCAGUUGAGCCAUCUCAUUCUUCACUUCCUGUAAACCACUCCAUAGAUUUGUCUUCCUUCAUGAAAUUAGUUUUCUUUUCUUUGUUUGAUUGAUGGUCAUUGGCUACCAAAAUAAAAUAUGCAUUUUGAGAUAAA